This 387-nucleotide ribosomal RNA is filed under the name uncultured eukaryote. RNAcentral's name for it is "SSU rRNA". It matches the Rfam family "Eukaryotic small subunit ribosomal RNA", at positions 587 to 972 of the family's 1831-position model. The record is from RNAcentral.
AGCUCCAAUAGCGUAUAUUAAAGUUGUUGCAGUUAAAAAGCUCGUAGUUGGAUUUCUGGUGGGAGCGGCCGGUCCGCCUCAUUCGGGGUGUGUACUGGGCCGUCUCCAGCCAUCCUUGGGGAGAACGGUUCUGGCAUUGAGUUGUCGGGGCCGGGAACCCCAUCGUUUACUGUGAAAAAAUUAGAGUGUUUAAAGCAGGCUUACGCCGUUGAAUACAUUAGCAUGGAAUAAUAAGAUAGGACUUUGGUGGUCUAUUUUGUUGGUUUGCACACCAAGGUAAUGAUUAAUAGGGAUAGUUGGGGGUAUUCGUAUUUAAUUGUCAGAGGUGAAAUUCUUGGAUUUCUGAAAGACGAACUACUGCGAAAGCAUUUACCAAGGAUGUUUUCA